UACGGAGGAUGCGAGCGUUAUCCGGAUUUAUUGGGUUUAAAGGGUGCGUAGGCGGACGCUUAAGUCAGCGGUAAAAUUGCGGGGCUCAACCUCGUCGAGCCGUUGAAACUGGGUGCCUUGAGUGGGCGAGAAGUACGCGGAAUGCGUGGUGUAGCGGUGAAAUGCAUAGAUAUCACGCAGAACUCCGAUUGCGAAGGCAGCGUACCGGCGCCCGACUGACGCUGAAGCACGAAGGCGUGGGUAUCGAACAGG
This 252-nucleotide ribosomal RNA is filed under the name uncultured bacterium. RNAcentral describes it as "partial 16S ribosomal RNA". It matches the Rfam family "Bacterial small subunit ribosomal RNA", at positions 524 to 776 of the family's 1533-position model. The record is from RNAcentral.